GACGAACGCUGGCGGCGUGCUUAACACAUGCAAGUCGAACGGAAAGGCCCUGCUUGCAGGGUACUCGAGUGGCGAACGGGUGAGUAACACGUGGGUGAUCUGCCCUGCACUUCGGGAUAAGCCUGGGAAACUGGGUCUAAUACAGGAUAGGAGCCAUUUUUAGUGUGAUGGUUGGAAAGUUUUUUCGGUGUAGGAUGAGCUCGCGGCCUAUCAGCUUGUUGGUGGGGUAAUGGCCUACCAAGGCGGCGACGGGUAGCCGGCCUGAGUGGGUGGACGGCCACAUUGGGACUGAGGUACGGCCCAGACACCUACGGUAGGCAGCAGGGGGGAAGAUUGCACAAUGGGCGCAAGCCUGAUGCAGCGACGCCGCGGGGGGGAUGACGGCCUUCGGGUUGUAAACUCCUUUCGCUAGGGACGAAGCUUUUUGUGACGGUACCUAGAUAAGAAGCACCGGCUAACUACGUG
This 465-nucleotide ribosomal RNA is filed under the name uncultured bacterium. RNAcentral describes it as "partial 16S ribosomal RNA". It matches the Rfam family "Bacterial small subunit ribosomal RNA", at positions 28 to 507 of the family's 1533-position model. The record is from RNAcentral.